AUCCGGCUGACGAGUACCAAAUAGAACGAAACGCGUGUCCUGGAU
RNAcentral lists this non-coding RNA (45 nucleotides) under Schistosoma curassoni. Lineage: Eukaryota; Metazoa; Platyhelminthes; Trematoda; Strigeidida; Schistosomatidae. The record is from RNAcentral.